UAACGCGUGGAUAACCUGCCGUAUACAGGGGGAUAACACUUAGAAAUAGGUGCUAAUACCGCAUAAGCGCACAGCUUUGCAUGAAGCAGUGUGAAAAGCAAAAAGUUAAAACUUUUAGCGGUAUACGAUGGAUCCGCGUCUGAUUAGCCAGUUGGCGGGGUAACGGCCCACCAAAGCGACGAUCAGUAGCCGGCCUGAGAGGGCGGACGGCCACAUUGGGACUGAGACACGGCCCAGACUCCUACGGAAGGCAGCAG
This 257-nucleotide ribosomal RNA is filed under the name uncultured bacterium. RNAcentral describes it as "partial 16S ribosomal RNA". It matches the Rfam family "Bacterial small subunit ribosomal RNA", at positions 111 to 354 of the family's 1533-position model. The record is from RNAcentral.